This 512-nucleotide ribosomal RNA is filed under the name uncultured Gammaproteobacteria bacterium. RNAcentral describes it as "bacterial SSU rRNA". It matches the Rfam family "Bacterial small subunit ribosomal RNA", at positions 1 to 526 of the family's 1533-position model. The record is from RNAcentral. Lineage: Bacteria; Pseudomonadati; Pseudomonadota; Gammaproteobacteria.
UAAGAGUUUGAUCCUGGCUCAGGACGAACGCUGGCGGCGUGCUUAAAACAUGCAAGUCGAACGAGAGCUUCGGCUCGAGUGGCAAACGGCUGAGUAACGCGUGGGUGACCUGCCUGGAAGUGGGGAAUAACUGCCCGAAAGACUGGCUAAUACCGCAUGAGAUCGAGAGAUGAAAGCAGGGGACCGCAAGGCCUUGCGCGAGAGGAGCGGCCGAUGCCGGAUUAGCUAGUUGGCGGGGUAAAAGCCCACCAAGGCGACGAUCCGUAGCUGGUCUGAGAGGACGAUCAGCCACACUGGGACUGAGACACGGCCCAGACUCCUACGGGAGGCAGCAGUGGGGAAUAUUGGACAAUGGGGGCAACCCUGAUCCAGCAAUGCCGCGUGUGUGAAGAAGGCCUGCGGGUUGUAAAGCACUUUCAGAGGGGAAGAAAAAUCGGAGCUAACACCUCCGAGCUUGACGUUACCCUUAGAAGAAGCACCGGCUAACUCCGUGCCAGCAGCCGCGGUAAUUC